This is a long non-coding RNA of Mus caroli (Ryukyu mouse), 515 nucleotides long. RefSeq lists it as uncharacterized. Lineage: Eukaryota; Metazoa; Chordata; Mammalia; Rodentia; Muridae. The record is from RefSeq and is a predicted model, not a curated record.
CGGACCAUCUAGGCACAACGUGGUGAUGAAGUGAUGGCUUCCAGGGCAGAGACCAGGAGGACUUCAUCUGUGGGGCAGCUAAUUCUGUGUCUGAGUCUUGGAGGAACGGAGAGUGGAACCCGCUGCGUCUGGAGAGUGGCGCCCACAGCAUCUGACUUCCUUCAACCCUGAAGAAGAAACAAGACAAAGUGAUUGGAGACCUUUCCCAAGGUCACGUGGGAGGUGAGGCAAAUGGCAGACUGGCUCUGGAAGCUUUGAAAAGACCAAGAUGCAGGAGCUGAACUUCAGGGUCUGAGAAGAGAACCACGUCAGUGUUACGGUUAAAAAAAAAAAAAAAAAGAAAAUCCAACCCACUUCCGGGUUUGAAAACCCACCGGUCCCUGAGACUCCCCCCGCCCCCUCAAAAAAAGCUUGCCUCUCACUCGGUUCCCUGAUGUUUCUCACUGAGGCAGAGGCAGCUGCCCUCUGUCUUUCCCAAUAAAUAUCUUGUGUAUGUUCUUGUCAUGCGACAUUGG